This 359-nucleotide unclassified non-coding RNA is filed under the name uncultured fungus. Its description in RNAcentral is "partial contains 5.8S ribosomal RNA and internal transcribed spacer 2". The stretch from base 1 to 133 matches the Rfam family "5.8S ribosomal RNA", at positions 22 to 154 of the family's 154-position model. The record is from RNAcentral. Lineage: Eukaryota; Fungi.
UGGUUCUGGCAUCGAUGAAGAACGCAGCGAAAUGCGAUAAGUAAUGUGAAUUGCAGAAUUCAGUGAAUCAUCGAAUUUUUGAACGCAUAUUGCACCUUAGAGUAUUCUUUAAGGUAUACCUGUUCGAGCGUCGUUUAAAAUCAUGAAGCUUUUGCUUUUUGUUGAAUUUUGAUAUGUUUCUCAGUAUCAAUCUUCCAAACUUAUUGGCAUCUUUAUACUUUUGUUGACCAAUUGACAUAUGAAAAAUGUUUUAUUGUGUUUGAAAGACUUUUGUCUUAGGACUCUUUUGUCUUAGAAAGAAUAAAUGCCUUAAUAAACUACAAAGUUUCGACCUCGAAUCAAGUAAGACUACCCGCUGA